CCCUUAGAUGUCCGGGGCCGCACGCGCGCUACACUGAAGGAAUCAGCGUGGCUUUCUCCCUGACCCGAAAGGGUUGGGAAACCCGUUGAAUCUCCUUCGUGAUAGGGAUUGGGGCUUGAAAUUGUUCCCCAUGAACGAGGAAUUCCCAGUAAGCGCGAGUCAUAAGCUCGAGUUGAUUACGUCCCUGCCCUUUGUACACACCGCCCGUCGCUACUACCGAUUGAACGGUUUAGUGAGGGCCUCGGAUUGGUCUCGGCCCGCUCUUUACCGGGCGGCGCCGUUGGUCGAGAAGACGCUCGAACUUGAUCGUUUAGAGGAAGUAAAAGUCGUAACA
RNAcentral lists this ribosomal RNA (334 nucleotides) under uncultured eukaryote. RNAcentral's name for it is "partial 18S ribosomal RNA". It matches the Rfam family "Eukaryotic small subunit ribosomal RNA", at positions 1470 to 1796 of the family's 1831-position model. The record is from RNAcentral.